Molecule: ribosomal RNA, 468 nt
Filed under: uncultured bacterium
Lineage: Bacteria
Description: partial 16S ribosomal RNA
Rfam family: Bacterial small subunit ribosomal RNA
Source: RNAcentral
AAUGAACGCUGGCGGCAGGCCUAACACAUGCAAGUCGAACGGGUCCUUCGGGACUAGUGGCGGACGGGUGAGUAACACGUGGGCAACCUGCCUCAUAGAGGGGAAUAGCCUUCCGAAAGGGAGAUUAAUACCGCAUAAGAUUGUAGUACCGCAUGGUACAGCAAUUAAAGGAGCAAUCCGCUAUGAGAUGGGCCCGCGGCGCAUUAGCUAGUUGGUGAGGUAACGGCUCACCAAGGCGACGAUGCGUAGCCGACCUGAGAGGGUGAUCGGCCACAUUGGGACUGAGACACGGCCCAGACUCCUACGGGAGGCAGCAGUGGGGAAUAUUGCACAAUGGGGGAAACCCUGAUGCAGCAACGCCGCGUGAGUGAUGACGGCCUUCGGGUUGUAAAGCUCUGUCUUCAGGGACGAUAAUGACGGUACCUGAGGAGGAAGCCACGGCUAACUACGUGCCAGCCGCCGCGGUAA